GAAUCAACGCUGGCGGCGUGCCUAACACAUGCAAGUCGAACGAGAAAGUGGAGCAAUCCAUGAGUAAAGUGGCGCACGGGUGAGUAACACGUGACUAACCUACCCUUGAGUGGGGAAUAACUUCGGGAAACCGAGGCUAAUACCGCAUAACACCUACGGGUCAAAGGAGCAAUUCGCUUAAGGAGGGGGUCGCGGCAGAUUAGUUAGUUGGCGGGGUAAUGGCCCACCAAGACGGUGAUCUGAUCCGGCCUGAGAGGGCGCACGGACACACUGGAACUGAAACACGGUCCAGACUCCUACGGGAGGCAGCAGUGGGGAAUUUUGCGCAAUGGGGGAAACCCUGACGCAGCAACGCCGCGUGGAGGAUGAAGUCCCUUGGGACGUAAACUCCUUUCGAUCGGGACGAUUAUGACGGUACCGGAAGAAGAAGCCCCGGCUAACUUCGUGCCAGCCGCCGCCGUAAC
Molecule: ribosomal RNA, 464 nt
Filed under: uncultured bacterium
Lineage: Bacteria
Description: bacterial SSU rRNA
Rfam family: Bacterial small subunit ribosomal RNA
Source: RNAcentral